GAUGAACGCUGGCGGCGUGCCUAAUACAUGCAAGUCGAACGCAUAGCGAAAGGUGCUUGCACCUUUCAAGUGAGUGGCGAACGGGUGAGUAACACGUGGACAACCUGCCUCAAGGCUGGGGAUAACAUUUGGAAACAGAUGCUAAUACCGAAUAAAACUUAGUGUCGCAUGACACAAAGUUAAGAGGCGCUUCGGCGUCACCUAGAGAUGGAUCCGCGGUGCAUUAGUUAGUUGGUGGGGUAAAGGCCUACCAAGACAAUGAUGCAUAGCCGAGUUGAGAGACUGAUCGGCCACAUUGGGACUGAGACACGGCCCAAACUCCUACGGGAGGCUGCAGUAGGGAAUCUUCCACAAUGGGCGAAAGCCUGAUGGAGCAACGCCGCGUGUGUGAUGAAGGCUUUCGGGUCGUAAAGCACUGUUGUAUGGGAAGAACAGCUAGAAUAGGAAAUGAUUUUAGUUUGACGGUACCAUACCAGAAAGGGACGGCUAAAUACGUG
This 497-nucleotide ribosomal RNA is filed under the name uncultured bacterium. Its description in RNAcentral is "partial 16S ribosomal RNA". It matches the Rfam family "Bacterial small subunit ribosomal RNA", at positions 28 to 507 of the family's 1533-position model. The record is from RNAcentral.